Molecule: ribosomal RNA, 1036 nt
Filed under: Metapochonia variabilis
Lineage: Eukaryota; Fungi; Ascomycota; Sordariomycetes; Hypocreales; Clavicipitaceae
Description: SSU rRNA
Rfam family: Eukaryotic small subunit ribosomal RNA
Source: RNAcentral
AGCAAUUAUACAGCGAAACUGCGAAUGGCUCAUUAUAUAAGUUAUCGUUUAUUUGAUAGUACCUUACUACUUGGAUAACCGUGGUAAUUCUAGAGCUAAUACAUGCUAAAAAUCCCGACUUCGGAAGGGAUGUAUUUAUUAGAUUAAAAACCAAUGCCCUCUGGGCUCUCUGGUGAUUCAUGAUAACUUCUCGAAUCGCAUGGCCUUGCGCCGGCGAUGGUUCAUUCAAAUUUCUUCCCUAUCAACUUUCGAUGUUUGGGUAGUGGCCAAACAUGGUUGCAACGGGUAACGGAGGGUUAGGGCUCGACCCCGGAGAAGGAGCCUGAGAAACGGCUACUACAUCCAAGGAAGGCAGCAGGCGCGCAAAUUACCCAAUCCCGAUUCGGGGAGGUAGUGACAAUAAAUACUGAUACAGGGCUCUUUUGGGUCUUGUAAUUGGAAUGAGUACAAUUUAAAUCCCUUAACGAGGAACAAUUGGAGGGCAAGUCUGGUGCCAGCAGCCGCGGUAAUUCCAGCUCCAAUAGCGUAUAUUAAAGUUGUUGUGGUUAAAAAGCUCGUAGUUGAACCUUGGGCCUGGUUGGCCGGUCCGCCUCACCGCGUGUACUGGUCCGGCCGGGCCUUUCCCUCUGUGGAACCCCAUGCCCUUCACUGGGUGUGGCGGGGAAACAGGACUUUUACUUUGAAAAAAUUAGAGUGCUCCAGGCAGGCCUAUGCUCGAAUACAUUAGCAUGGAAUAAUAAAAUAGGACGUGCGGUUCUAUUUUGUUGGUUUCUAGGACCGCCGUAAUGAUUAAUAGGGACAGUCGGGGGCAUCAGUAUUCAAUUGUCAGAGGUGAAAUUCUUGGAUUUAUUGAAGACUAACUACUGCGAAAGCAUUUGCCAAGGAUGUUUUCAUUAAUCAGGAACGAAAGUUAGGGGAUCGAAGACGAUCAGAUACCGUCGUAGUCUUAACCAUAAACUAUGCCGACUAGGGAUCGGACGAUGUUAUUUUUUGACUCGUUCGGCACCUUACGAGAAAUCAAAGUGCUUGGGCUCCA